This 537-nucleotide unclassified non-coding RNA is filed under the name Hevea brasiliensis (rubber tree). The record is from RNAcentral. Lineage: Eukaryota; Viridiplantae; Streptophyta; Magnoliopsida; Malpighiales; Euphorbiaceae.
UUUUUUUUUUAAAAAAAAGGGGGAAACUUUUUUGAAGUUUCUAAGAAGUUUCAAUGUUUGAAAUGUGUCCCACACAAGAAGGUUGGCCUUGGCCUUCUAGAGGUUUUCUUGCUUCCUGGACAUGUAUGCAUGUUCCCCUCCCUAUGACCCAUGCAUGCCCUUGGGGUUUCAAUUUGUUAGAAUAUGCUGUGAUUACCCAGUUAUUGUGCUGUGUAAAUAUGCCUGUGAUUAUGCCAGUAACAGUGCCCUCGUAAUUAACAUUCUAUACUUGGUGCAUGUCAAGUAGCAUAUGUACCCAGUAGCUAGAAGGAAUAAUCAAGCUUUUUUCUCCCACAUUCCUGUUCUAUUCCUUCUUCUUUUAAACAAUACCAAUUAAAUGUGAAAUUUUGCAAACGUACCCAUUGUAUACCAAAAUACCUAAUUCUACCCCAUUGAGUAAAAUGGCCGGAAAAUAUGUGAAAUAUUAACAACCUUAACUCUAUCAUUCACCAACAGAACACCAAGAAUAAGCCCAGGAAUCUUAUAUAACAAUACCAU